GAAAAUUAGAUAAUGAUUUUUGCGAAGUAAUUCCGCCAGUUUUAUUAUGUUCAGUUACAUAAUGAUCCCUUAGACAUUAUUGUGGCUACAGAGAUGAGCAUCCCUUGCUUGCGCAUCAAAGUUUCAAGUUAUAAGGAAACAAAUUGAAAAUGUAACUACAGAUGAAAAGAUGCACUUUGUGUCAUGCAUGUGAAUGUGGAUGUGUAGAUUCCACGUAAAUCGAGUCAGAAACACGUGUCGAGGCAUCAUGAUUUAGUUACCUAAUCGAAUAUUUUACGUCUCUGCGAUUGGGGAAUUAUUACAUGCUUACAUAGAAUCCAUCUGACAAAGUCUGGCAGAUAUAUCAAACUUCUUUUGCGUACAAAAAUCAUUCGUACAAUCUAAUUAAAUAACUUUCAGCUUUCAAUAUGAUUCACAUAUUUCUACCAAAUUCGAGCUGAACCAUGAAUACUCUCCGGCGUCUAUAUCUCCACAUCAUUCUCUAUCUUUUUAUUUGUUCCGGUAAUUUUAUAUUUUUCAUUUUUACUAUAAAAGAAAACUGUAAGUAGUAGUACCUUAUCAUAGAUAACAUAUCUCUAUUGGUGGACGCAAUACUAAAAUUUUCUUUUAAGAAUGCAAAAUUUGAAGUUCGCUCAGUGCGCAUUAUAUAUUAGAUCCAUAGAAGAAUGGUGAGUAAUAUCAAAAAAGGUUUACGAUUAUAACUACCCAAAAACGCAUGAUUUGAUUAGAACACUCGGGAAGAAGAAUCAAAGAAAGUGGAUGCGGGUCAAAAGUGCAGGUGCGUUUUUGGGUAGUAAAGAGAAAUGGGAAAAGAGGGCAACAGAUCCAAAUGGUCAUCUAAUCAGUAAUCACCCUCUAGCAACUUCAUUUCCACACAAACUUUUGGGCCUACACCUUUCUUUGUCUUUUUUUUUUCUUCCUUUCUUUUGGUUGUAAAUGGCAUUUUAGCAAUUUUGUAGUUUCAUAUCUUUAUACAAACAUUUGGAGAGGAGGAAAAGGUCAAACAAUAUUUACAUAAUCACAAGGUAAUUGAUUGUUGGAUUAUAUGCACUCUAAAGCACUAUCCUAUCAUUGGGUUUUGGUUCAUUCAACAUAUCUUUGGAUUAUCAGAAAACUUCAAUCCGUAAUCUUUCUAAACCCACGUCAUUUAAUAUUAG
Molecule: long non-coding RNA, 1157 nt
Filed under: Brassica rapa (field mustard)
Lineage: Eukaryota; Viridiplantae; Streptophyta; Magnoliopsida; Brassicales; Brassicaceae
Description: long non-coding RNA (BRAP_LNC003129)
Source: RNAcentral